GGGGCCUUAGCUCAGUUGGUAGAGCGCCUGCUUUGCAAGCAGGAUGUCAGGAGUUCGAUUCUCCUAGGCUCCACCA
Molecule: transfer RNA, 76 nt
Filed under: Agromyces mediolanus
Lineage: Bacteria; Bacillati; Actinomycetota; Actinomycetes; Micrococcales; Microbacteriaceae
Also listed under: 2 other names
Description: tRNA-Ala
Rfam family: tRNA
About the family: Transfer RNA (tRNA) molecules are approximately 80 nucleotides in length. Their secondary structure includes four short double-helical elements and three loops (D, anti-codon, and T loops). Further hydrogen bonds mediate the characteristic L-shaped molecular structure. tRNAs have two regions of fundamental functional importance: the anti-codon, which is responsible for specific mRNA codon recognition, and the 3' end, to which the tRNAs corresponding amino acid is attached (by aminoacyl-tRNA synthetases). tRNAs cope with the degeneracy of the genetic code in two manners: having more than one tRNA (with a specific anti-codon) for a particular amino acid; and 'wobble' base-pairing, i.e. permitting non-standard base-pairing at the 3rd anti-codon position.
Source: RNAcentral